AUUGAACGCUGGCGGCAUGCCUUACACAUGCAAGUCGAACGGUAACAGGUCUUCGGAUGCUGGCGAGUGCCGAACGGGUGAGUAAUACAUCGGAACGUGCCCGUUCGUGGGGGAUAACGAAGCGAAAGCUUUGCUAAUACCGCAUACGAUCAACGGAUGGAAGCCGGGGACCGCAAGGCCUUGCGCGAACGGAGCGGCCGAUGCCAGAUUAGGUAGAUGGCGGGAUAAAAGCUUAGCAAGCCGACGAUCUGUAGCUGGUCUGAGAGGACGACCAGCCACACUGGGACUGAGACACGGCCCAGACUCCUACGGGAGGCAGCAGUGGGGAAUUUUGGACAAUGGGCGAAAGCCUGAUCCAGCCAUGCCGCGUGCAGGAUGAAGGCCUUCGGGUUGUAAACUGCUUUUGGACGGAACGAAAAGACUCUGGUUAAUACCUGGGGUCCAUGACGGUACCGUAAGAAUAAGCACCGGCUAACUACGUGCCAGCCGCCGCAGUAA
This 498-nucleotide ribosomal RNA is filed under the name uncultured bacterium. RNAcentral's name for it is "partial 16S ribosomal RNA". It matches the Rfam family "Bacterial small subunit ribosomal RNA", at positions 30 to 523 of the family's 1533-position model. The record is from RNAcentral.